RNAcentral lists this small nuclear RNA (107 nucleotides) under Piliocolobus tephrosceles (Ugandan red Colobus). Lineage: Eukaryota; Metazoa; Chordata; Mammalia; Primates; Cercopithecidae. The record is from RNAcentral.
AUGCUUGCUUUGGCAGCACAUAUACUAAACCUGGAAUGAUAUAGAGAAGAUUAGCAUGGCCCCUGCACAUGGAUGACAUGCAAAUUCAUGAAGCAUUCCAUAGUUUU